Molecule: long non-coding RNA, 386 nt
Organism: Mytilus californianus (California mussel)
Lineage: Eukaryota; Metazoa; Mollusca; Bivalvia; Mytilida; Mytilidae
Exons: 3
Source: RefSeq, a predicted model, not a curated record
UCAUAAACAAAAUAAUUUAUACGGUAUAAAAGAACGAUUUUGAAGCAGUGAAACAGUAUUCACAAGAAAUCCUUCGAAUAACUUCAAAGAAAGAAUUCUUAGAGAUGAUGAGAUUCCAGACCAUUUUCUUAUCGAUGGCAGUGACCACAAUGAUAGUAGCCGCCUACUCACCAACAGAAAAGCAUGCAUUAGACAUUCAUGGAGUGAAGAAGAUUUUACAGGUCGAAAACACAUCUGGAAGAGCUAUAAACGGGCGUCGUGGUAGCGGAUCUCUUUCAGUACUAGAUGUUAUUGAUGCAAAUAGACGAGCAGGAUCAGGAGCAGUUGGAACAUCUCGUGGAAUAGGAAACGAAUUUAUAACACGUGGGUUAUCCGACAGUAGAAGA